UACGGAGGGGGCUAGCGUUGUUCGGAAUUACUGGGCGUAAAGCGCACGUAGGCGGCUUUGUAAGUUAGAGGUGAAAGCCCGGGGCUCAACUCUGGAAUUGCCUUUAAGACUGCAUCGCUAGAAUUGUGGAGAGGUAAGUGGAAUUCCGAGUGUAGAGGUGAAAUUCGUAGAUAUUCGGAAGAACACCAGUGGCGAAGGCGACUUACUGGACACAUAUUGACGCUGAGGUGCGAAAGCGUGGGGAGCAAACAGG
This 253-nucleotide ribosomal RNA is filed under the name uncultured bacterium. RNAcentral's name for it is "partial 16S ribosomal RNA". It matches the Rfam family "Bacterial small subunit ribosomal RNA", at positions 524 to 776 of the family's 1533-position model. The record is from RNAcentral.